This 596-nucleotide ribosomal RNA is filed under the name Luidia magnifica. RNAcentral's name for it is "partial large subunit ribosomal RNA". It matches the Rfam family "Bacterial large subunit ribosomal RNA", at positions 1818 to 2595 of the family's 2925-position model. Lineage: Eukaryota; Metazoa; Echinodermata; Asteroidea; Paxillosida; Luidiidae. The record is from RNAcentral.
GCCCUUUGAAAGGUUUUAACCAAAAAAUAAAGGGUACUGCCUGCCCAGUGACGUAGUAGUUUAACGGCCGCGGUAUCUUGACCGUGCAAAGGUAGCAUAAUCAUUUGCCUUUUAAAUGGAGGCUGGAAUGAAUGGCAAGACGGAAAUUUGGCUGUCUCUUUCUUAAUAACCCUGAAUUUUAUAUCCUAGUGAAGAAGCUAGGAUAGGAUCGUGGGACGAGAAGACCCUGUUGAGCUUUAACAAUAAGAGUAUCCACAAUUUUUUUAUUAUUAACUAAUUAAAGCAAAAGAAGCAGUUUGUUUAUGGAUCUAUUUUUAAUAUAAAAGGUGUUUUACUUGUGUUGUUUUGGUUGGGGCAACCGCGGAGUAUAAGAAACCUCCGCUUUAAAAAGUGAAAAAGUACAGUUUUUGUUUAGGAAGUUUCUAUUAAGUGAUCCACCACGUAAGGUGAUCAAAGGAAAAAGUUACCACAGGGAUAACAGCGUAAUUUUUUUGGAGAGUUCAUAUUGAUAAAAAAGUUUGCGACCUCGAUGUUGGAUCGAGACUUCCUGGGGGUGCAGCAGCUCCCAAGGGUUGGUCUGUUCGACCAUUAAAGUC